UCAGAAAGGCUUUUGAGGGAGCACCAUGGUGUUGGCCCUGGUUUUCCUCACACUCCUCAGUUAUAGCUCAGGGGUCAAUUCACGGCCCCCUUGGACUCAGCCUGUCUCAGCAUCUGCGUCCCCAGGACAAACAGCAAAGCUCUCCUGCACUGUAAACAAUGAUGGCAACACCAUUUCCUGGUAUCAGCAGAGACCUGGACAAGCUCCUCGUUUUGUGCUCUAUGGUACCAGCACCCGGGGAGAAGGGAUCCCAGAUCGGUUCACUGGUUCCAGGUCUGGAAACAUUGGCUAUUUAACCAUCGGCAACAUCCAGGCUGAAGAUGAAGCAGAUUAUUACUGUUACAUGUGGUCUCGCACUGACAGCAUGUAUCACAGUGGCAGAGUCUGA
Molecule: non-coding RNA, 388 nt
Organism: Eublepharis macularius
Lineage: Eukaryota; Metazoa; Chordata; Lepidosauria; Squamata; Eublepharidae
Source: the annotation of a RefSeq genome assembly